RNAcentral lists this ribosomal RNA (1657 nucleotides) under Gymnothorax hepaticus (liver-colored moray eel). RNAcentral describes it as "16S ribosomal RNA". It matches the Rfam family "Bacterial large subunit ribosomal RNA". Lineage: Eukaryota; Metazoa; Chordata; Actinopteri; Anguilliformes; Muraenidae. The record is from RNAcentral.
GCCAAGAAGCUAGCCUAAACAGAUCUAUAACUAAAUAUUAUAAAUAAACAAACCAUACCAACAUAUUAAAACAUUUUACCGCCCAAGUAUAGGUGAUAGAAAAGGUCCUUAGAGCAAUAGAAAAAGUACCGCAAGGGAAAGCUGAAAAAGAAGUGAAAUAACCCGAGAAAGCAAGAAAGAGCAGAGUCGAACCCUCGUACCUUUUGCAUCAUGAUCUAGCAAGAAACCCCAAGCAAAGAGAACUUAAGUUUGACCCCCCGAAACCAGGGGAGCUACUUCGGGGCAGCCCAAAGGGGCAAACCCGUCUCUGUGGCAAAAGAGUGGGGAGACUUCCAAGUAGUGGUGAUAAGCCUACCGAACCUGGUGAUAGCUGGUUGCUCAGAAGAUGAAUAUAAGUUCAGCGUUAUGGCAUUCUAGUAUUAAUUUUAAGAAAAGCAAGUAAGUCAUAACAGUUAGUCAAAAGGGGUACAGCCCUUUUGAAAAAGGAUACAACCUUACCAAGGAGGAAAAGGAUCAAUAACCUAAGGCACUUUCCCCAGUGGGCCUAAAAGCAGCCACCUGUGAAGAUAGCGUUAAAGCUCAAGCAAAACCUGGCCAACAAUACAACUAAACUAAACCCAUUCCCCUACUGUAACUGAGCCCCUCUAUAUAGCUAUAGAGAAGAUAAUGCUAGAAUUAGUAAUAAGAGGGACACACCCCUCUCCUCGCACAAUCGUGGGUCAGAUAGGAUUAACCGCUGAUAAAUAACGGACCCAAAAGGGGGAACAACAAAGAAAUUUAACGAACAAGAAAACCCUGAAGGAAUUACCGUCAACCCGACACAGGAAUGCGCCUAGGAAAGACUAAAAGGAAGAGAAGGAACUCGGCAAAAUCAAAACCCCGCCUGUUUACCAAAAACAUCGCCUCUUGCUAACAAUGAAGUAUUAGAGGUCCCGCCUGCCCUGUGACAGCAGUGUUUAACGGCCGCGGUAUUUUAACCGCGCGAAGGUAGCGUAAUCACUUGUCUUUUAAAUGGAGACCUGUAUGAAUGGCAUAACGAGGGUUUUACUGUCUCCUCCCCCCAGUCAAUGAAAUUGAUCUGCCCGUGCAGAAGCGGGCAUAACGACAUAAGACGAGAAGACCCUAUGGAGCUUCAGGCAAAUGAUCAAGUACAUAAAAUCCUGAUAUUAACCAAACUCAAGAAAAGCAAGGACCCCUGAUCAAAGUGCCUUCGGUUGGGGCGACCAUGGAGGAAAAAGGAGCCUCCACGUGGAAAGGGAGAACCCUUAAACCAAGAGCCACACCUCUAAGCAGCAGAAAAUCUGACCAAAAAUGACCCAGGCUCGAGCCUGAUCAACGAACCAAGUUACCCUAGGGAUAACAGCGCAAUCCUCUCCCAGAGUCCAUAUCGACGAGGGGGUUUACGACCUCGAUGUUGGAUCAGGACAUCCUAUUGGUGCAGCCGCUAUUAAGGGUUCGUUUGUUCAACGAUUAAUAGUCCUACGUGAUCUGAGUUCAGACCGGAGCAAUCCAGGUCGGUUUCUAUCUAUGAACUACCUACCCCUAGUACGAAAGGACCGGAGUAGGGGGGCCUACGAGAACACAAGCCCCAACCCAGCCCGCUGAAGACAUAUAAAGCGCAUAAUGGGAAGGACAUAACUGCCAGAGAUAAUGGCAC